This 328-nucleotide ribosomal RNA is filed under the name uncultured eukaryote. RNAcentral describes it as "partial 18S ribosomal RNA". It matches the Rfam family "Eukaryotic small subunit ribosomal RNA", at positions 1470 to 1796 of the family's 1831-position model. The record is from RNAcentral.
CCCUUAGAUGUUCUGGGCUGCACGCGCGCUACACUGAUGCGCUCAACGAGUUUUAACCUUGCCUGGAAAGGUUGGGUAAUCUUUUUAAAACGCAUCGUGAUGGGGAUAGAUUAUUGCAAUUAUUAAUCUUCAACGAGGAAUUCCUAGUAAGCGCGAGUCAUCAGCUCGUGCUGAUUACGUCCCUGCCCUUUGUACACACCGCCCGUCGCUCCUACCGAUUGAAUGAUCCGAUGAAUACCAUGGAUUGAGAGUUCAAAUAGGUUCGCCUAUUUUGCUUCUCGAGAAGUGGAGUAAAUCUUAUCAUUUAGAGGAAGGAGAAGUCGUAACA